Molecule: long non-coding RNA, 366 nt
Filed under: Mytilus galloprovincialis (Mediterranean mussel)
Lineage: Eukaryota; Metazoa; Mollusca; Bivalvia; Mytilida; Mytilidae
Source: RNAcentral
AUUUCACUUGACUGGGCGGAGUUUAACCGAUUCGCUCACAAUAAACCAGUCCAUCUAUAGAUAGGUGUUUUAGGAUAAACUCAUCAAUGAAAUGUCCAGUCAUUGUUUUUUUUUUAAAUUCCUUUGAUGACAUUGAUAGGUGAUUAGAAAUCAGUAAUAAUUAUAACGGCUAUCAUCCUUAUCACACACAUCUUCAAAUAGACUGUCCUUAUGCAAAUUAAAACGUAAGCUCCGCCCGAUCAGUUGAAAUGACAUUGGUAAUAGCACUAGUGUAGCAUUGUAAGCAAGUGCUUACAAAUAAAUUAAUAAAACUUUUUUUAAAUAAAACAUUCAGCUGCUUUUGGACUGUCGUCCCCCCUUUCAGAC